UGUUGGAUAGAGCAUCAACGUAGGCCUACAGUAGACUAUCCAGUGCAGGCCACUGACUGUCGGAAUUAAAUAUAAUUCCAAGGCGAACACUGCGCUACUUCAUCCUAUGUGUGAGUUUUAUAAUUGCAUCAGUGCGCAGUCACUUAGAUACACAGAGCACACAUUUAAAACCAAACAGCAUUUGGAGAAAAUAUAGAAAGUAGCGAUGGGGGGUAUUAUGUGUCGAACGCACACAAAUACAUGCGCUGUUCUUUUCAACAAUGACCCCUUGUAUUUCCUUCUCCCGACACUACCCCCUCAUCCCAAAAAAUCACUUAUUUGUUCAUUAUCCAUGAAUGUUGACUGUGAUAAGGGAAUCCUAACCAUGAGUGAAUCUCUCUGUCUGGUUGCCUCUCUCUCUCUCGCCCUUUCAUUCCCUCUCUCCUCUUCUCUUUGCGCCCUUUGUUUUAUCUCAGGUGAAUUGUAAUCAUGUGAUCAAACGAACACCCCCUUCCAUUAUCCCCUUAAAAUGAAAAAAUGAGGAACAAAAAACAGUUCUGUGUAUAUGAAAAAGAAAAAGAGAAAAAGACAUGUCUCCGUUUAGUGCGCCUCUUUGUCUGGGUCUCAGCAAACGCUCACAUAUAGGGGAAAAUGCUCCAAGACCUCUACUUUGCUUAUGGAUCUCUGUCGCACUGUCCAGCUCUUGAGAGGGGGAAACUUAAAAUGCAACUCCGGUGGACUGGCUGGUCCUUCAGGAUUUGUGGCCUGGCCGCAACAUUGAAGUACUUCUGGUUCAGGAGGACAACAUCAACUGAGGACAUGAUUACACUGAAGAUCACAUUCGUCAAUGUCGGAGUAAUCAUGACGCUGAUCACUUUUUGGUUACAGGAGUUGAAAUGAGACAGGUAUAGAUGCAGUGCUUGCAGGUGAUUAGCAGCGAGCGGUUUCCAUAGGAACCCUUUAUUGUGGAAUUUGGAGGGUGACUGUGUGGUGAAGCGAGGGGGACGGAGCGUAUCGGUAAAGCCACUAGAGACAUGGUGGAGGGGGCUAGUAAGAGCUCUUCAAGAUGAGUCACGGAGAGGGGAAGAUUCAAGAUUAAACAGAACACAUCUUAAACUGAUUCACAGAGGUUUAACAAAAUUACAUCUAACAGUCACUCAUCAUCACAGUGUAGGGAGAUGAUGAGUGCAUAGGAAGACUGAACUUUGGGGAGAGAACGUCUGAAUAAGAAUCCUUGUUACACAACACAGAUACAGAUACUUAAUCACCCUUGAGCAGGAGGUGUGUGUGUGUGUGUGUGUGUGUGUGUGUGCGUGUGCGUGUGCGUGUGUGUGUGUGUGUGCGUGCGUGGGUGGGUGCGUGUGUUGGCUGGGGAGGGGAGGGGAGACUUCCUUUACUGUAUCUUUAUGUGUACUUGUCUGGCAAGGCCAUUCUUAACCCAUAAUCUCUUAAAUUGCAGAUGAAUAGUCUCCUAAUCUCUAGUCUCAAAGAAGUGAUAUGAAAGGCAGAUCUAAAUAGAGUGACCUGGUUCAGAUUUCACACUAAUCCCUUACAGAGAGAGAAGAAAAGGAGGGAGACGGUGCUGGUGGCGGACAGUGUUGUGGAAGGAUGACGACGCCAACAGGACAUCUCCUAAACCACGUCAUACUAGUCCCAGGUUAAUCACUGGAGUAGGAUUACAUACCAUUUGGCAUAUGGGUUCUUACUGCACAUCAAGACAUAUCUCAAACACAUAGGAAGAUAAUACACAAGCUGGGCCCAAGCAGUCCUCUCUGAGAUGUAUAAAAGGGAACAGUAUGUGUAUGAGCCUAUCGAUGCUGUUCAAAAUGGGUAGGGUUCGGCUGCGAUGUGUUUCUUGUUGUCAUUAUGAUUUUUUGUUGUAUUUAUUGAUGAGAAACCAAUGGGAUGUAGGCCUACAAGGAAAAUAAUAAAACAAGAGAAGAAUAAAGGUGGACCCAACCACAAGUUCCUUGUUUUCUCAAACGCUACAGUUAAAGCCCAUACCCCAUCCUAAGUGAAAAUAAAACAUGCUAUUCUAAUACCAGACGCAGGGUUUGGGAUGUAUAACUGAAUUAUAAAACAUGCUAUUCUAAUACCAGACGCAGGGUUUGGGAUGUAUAACUGAAUUAUAAAACAUGCUAUUCUAAUACCAGACGCAGGAUUUGGGAUGUAUAACUGAAUUAUAAAACAUGCUAUUCUAAUACCAGACGCAGGGUUUGGGAUGUAUAACUGAAUUAUAAAACAUGCUAUUCUAAUACCAGACGCAGGGUUUGGGAUGUAUAACUGAAUUAUAAAACAUGAAGUGGCUAAUAAGAGCCUGUUACAGCAGUACUUAAUGUUGGCAGGUACAGAGGGAAUGAGUUUGUCUAUGUUGACCUUUAUUUUCUCUGGCUUUGGUACAUUUCCAGAAUCCAUUCAGAUGCAAAACUUUGUCUGGUCAAAUUCGAUUAUGAUCAUAAUAAACUAUUUUAAUCUGGUCAGUUCCACGAACAAGCCAGAAAUUCAGUUGAUCAAUCCAGUCUGGGCUCUCAGAGAUUUCACUAAGAAGGUCUACUGAUAUCAUUUUUACAAGUGGAACAAUAAAAAAAAAAAAAUCUUCCAUGAGCCACUGUGUCAAAGAAACAUGACCAAAUGACAUCUGACAGUCUAGGAAUUCCCAUCACCCUUCAUUUGUAACAGAUCAAUCCCUGUCUCCCUGCGUGUCAAUCAUGUUGAACGAUCUGGAACCUUCUCUGUCUGUUUACAGCUAGGGUAGAGUACCCUAAUUAGGGUCAGUCAACAACAGCCCCCUACUAAGUAGUGAUUGAUCAACCCCAGUCAGCUCAACCAGUGCAUGCAUGGCUUUAAAUGAUGACUGUGUGUUUAAACAAGGAAAGUGUUACAUAAUAAAGGGCCAAGUAGAUCAAAGUCAUUAUUUUUGCAGGUAAAUGGGGUGAAUUCUCUGCUUGGUUCAUUUUAUUACUACUUCUAUUGUACUAUUAUUUUAACCUGUAUAAAUGUUGUUUUAGAAAUGUGCUGACAAUUCUAAUUAUAUGGGAAAUGUAAGGUGGUGUUGGCUUUGUACUUGGAAAAAGAUAAUAACUUGUUUCUUCGUCCCAGUUUUUAGAACACAGAUGCAGAAUCACAAGCGGGUUUUACCAGUAAGGAUCGCCUGGCCACACAGAGUUAACUGUAGGAUUAUCCGUUUCAUUACAACAUCAACUUUCCUCUAACUUUCCUGAACUUCUGCUCCCUGUGUUUAUUUAUAUAUCCCUCUCUGUCCCCGUCUCCUGUUUAUUGCUCUGGUGUGCUGUAGGCUACUCGACAGAUCCAUCCUUUAUCGACAUUUUCCUCUGUACACAUUUACUGUAGCUUUGACAUUUGGAUGUCAUCCAUUAUUGUGAAUGGGUCUGUAAACCCUGGGUUAAUUCGCUUUCAGUUUGUGAACAAAACAUUGUGAUGACCUCGAACACAGACUAAAUGAGCCUAGAGAGGAGCAGGUCUUACUGUCAUAACAGCAGGUGACUAUGACUGAUUCCUGGAUGCCCUAGAGAUGAAAUAAGAUUUAACUGUAUAAUAAAGUAGCUGUUUGCUCUAUAUCCCUACACAGCAGUUUCCUUGCAGUGUAUGAUCAUGGACUGGGUGACGCAGUGUCUCAUUGAGCUCUAGAUUGAUGGAAGGACAAACUUUAAUGGGGAAUGGUAGUGUAUAAGUGUCUCAUGCAAAUGUCUUGAGCAGGUAUUAUUGUCAAAUACUUAGUAGGAGAUAUCCAAAUAACCAAGUUCACAAUUAUAAAUUCAAAUAUUGCUCUGACCAGUUUAAAUGUAUCUUUGAUAAUUAUUAACCUACUUAUUUAAAAAAAAAAAAAUCUGAGUUAAACCAAGGUUACGCAUCCUAUCAAUAGUAGCAUACCCAGGUGAGACCGGACAGCUGUUCCAGGAACCAUGAAAUAGAAGAGGCAUUUGAUUCUCACUGGUUUCAGAACAAGCCUUCAUUAAUUGUAGAUUAUCUUUUUGAAAAUACAUUUUAAAGACUGUGAAAAUUAAUAGUAAUACAUUUUCACUUGGCGAAGUCUGUGAGUCCUGUUUCCCACCACAAACGUCUUGACAUUGUAAUGUGUAUUGGACACUGGGGACCUUUACGCAUUUUAGGUUAUGAUUUAGGAAAAUUGAUAAAUAGGCCAGGCUUACCUUAAAAACAACAAGUUAUUUUGUUGUGCAGCUUGCUUGUUGUUUCGAUCCACUUCUGAAUUAUAACCUCAAUUCUGAAUAGUCCACGUACUCUUUGGAAGGAAGGAUGUGUGACCCCAGGAGUCUCUGUUGUACGCCUUGCCUUUCAGCAAUAGUCCUAUCCUGUUCUGUUUCCACUCUCUAAUUCCUUUAACAUUAAUCACACAUUUUUGCAUAUCUUUAUUGUUUUUUCCCCUUUUGUUUUUGAAUCCUUUGUUGUCCUCUGCUGCCUUCUAACUGUCUCCUGUAAUCCGGUCGGUGCGCGUUCUCCUCCACAGACUCGUGCACUGGAGUCUCCAAAUGCUGUGUCAAUUUACUCUGUGCAAAGUGUGUGGGUUCCAGGGGGUGCUUGUCAGUUUGAUUAUGUCUCCCUCACGUCUUUAUGUAUAUGUGUAGGCGUUAAAUGAUGCGCCCCCUUCUCAUUUUACUGGUUGACUGCAUCUCAAAUCUAUGUCUCAUUGGAAUAAUUGUGGUGAGAUGAACAUGAAGUAGUUGUAAGAAUGGGUAUAAAAGUUGUUAUAACCUUGUUAAUACACUACCAAGUCACUUGGACUGAAUUUUGCGUACUGAACUCUGUAUAGAAUAAACAAUAAUUUCAGUUCCUUGAAAUCUUUACCCACUCA
This is a non-coding RNA of Oncorhynchus mykiss (rainbow trout), 4810 nucleotides long. Lineage: Eukaryota; Metazoa; Chordata; Actinopteri; Salmoniformes; Salmonidae. The record is from RefSeq and is a predicted model, not a curated record.